CUAACCUCACCUUAAUCCUUCAUCAAUAUUGAGUAAUUCUAUAACAUUAUAGAAAAUUUUAUGUUGAAACUAGUAACAAGAAAAGACUUUCUCUUAAAUGUAGGUGUAAAUCAGAAAGGACAAGCCACUGAUACUUAACAUCACUGAGCCCAAAGUAGAAACUCAUCGAGAAAACCCUACUUUUAUUUAUGUUAAUUUAACACAAAAACAUUAUAAGAAAGAUUGAAAGAAAAAGAAGGAACUCGGCAAAUAUUAACCUCGCCUGUUUACCAAAAACAUCGCCUCUUGAAUUCUAUAAGAGGUCCAGCCUGCCCAGUGACUUAUUCAACGGCCGCGGUAUCCUAACCGUGCGAAGGUAGCGUAAUCACUUGUUCUUUAAAUGGGGACUCGUAUGAAUGGCAUCACGAAGGUUAUACUGUCUCCUUUUUCUAAUCAGUGAAACUGAUCUUCCCGUGAAGAAGCGGGAAUAUUAAUAUAAGACGAGAAGACCCUAUGGAGCUUAAAAUAACCUAACAUUUGCUUAAACCAUAAGAAAUUUCAGAACCUUAACUCCUACAAGUAAUAUGAUUAUAAGUUUUUGGUUGGGGUGACCGCGGAGAACAACAUAACCUCCAUGUUGAAAGAGCUUAUUCUUAGCUAAGAUUUACUAAUCAAAGCAUCAACACAUUGACAUUCCUUGAUCCAAUAUAAUUGAUCAACGAACCAAGUUACCCUAGGGAUAACAGCGCAAUCUACUUCAAGAGCUCCUAUCGACAAGUAGGUUUACGACCUCGAUGUUGGAUCAGGGUAUCCCAGUGGUGUAGCCGCUACUAAAGGUUCGUUUGUUCAACGAUUAAAACCCUACG
This 845-nucleotide ribosomal RNA is filed under the name Rhinella macrorhina (Santa Rita beaked toad). Its description in RNAcentral is "partial 16S ribosomal RNA". It matches the Rfam family "Bacterial large subunit ribosomal RNA", at positions 1537 to 2600 of the family's 2925-position model. The record is from RNAcentral. Lineage: Eukaryota; Metazoa; Chordata; Amphibia; Anura; Bufonidae.